CCGCUUGUACAGGAUGUUGUCUCAAAGCUUCUUCCUGCAGGAUCCUGGCUCCCUCUCGCAAUGCAUCUCCAUCGCCACGACUGAAUCCCUGCCCAAUAUUUCAAGAAGGCACAGGCACAACAUAUCAACUCCUCAGGUGAUCUAAUAAGACGGUGUUCGAAGCAAGCCAUAUUCCGUAGUUUCCAAAUUGCCCAACAUAUCGCUGCUAGCCCUUAGGUGGUUUGAAAUCCACAUGAAAUAUUGUGAAAAGCAAGACGGUCUAGUGCCAGCCCCAAUGGCAACUUCCACAACCCCCCAAGUAUAUUUUGCAGCAGAGCAGGUAAAGAAAAAAAAAACUCGACCUGCAAAGGGGUAAGCCAACCCCCAGGCUUUUGCAUUAAGAAGAAGACCUUCUCACGCAGGUCGAGAAACCCCCGAACCCCUGCCCCA
Molecule: long non-coding RNA, 429 nt
Filed under: Brachypodium distachyon (stiff brome)
Lineage: Eukaryota; Viridiplantae; Streptophyta; Magnoliopsida; Poales; Poaceae
Description: long non-coding RNA (BDIS_LNC001833)
Source: RNAcentral